GAAACAAAAAGAACAAGUCGGAAAGGGAAGAAGAGGGAAGGGGAGGAGGAAGCAAGAAAGAAAGAUACCUCACCCAUACAAAACAGAGAAUGAUAAAUAGGGGAAAGAGGAAAAGAUCGGAAGAAAGAGAAAAAAACUAGACCUAUAUGGCAAAGAAACGGAGCGAAAAAGUAGUUACCCCGCCCAUAGAAAAAAGAAAACGGACUACGGGAAAAGAGGAGGGGGAAGAAAAGAAGGAAAGAAAAAAGAAGAAAAACUAGACGUGGCAAAAAAAGGAGGGUAAGAAAGGGAGAACAAGAGGAACAAGUCGUAACCCCGCCCAUAGAAAAAGAAAAAGGACAAUGGGAAUGAAAGGAAGGGAAAAGAAGAAAAAGAGGAAAGAAAAAGAAGAAAACUAGACUUAUGGUAAAAAAAAGGGGGUAAGAAAGGGAGAACAAGAGGAACAAUUAAGUCGUAACCCCACCCAUAGAAAAAGAAAAAGGAAAAAGGACAAUGGGAAUGAAAGGAAGGGGAAAGAAGAAAAGGAGGAAAGAAAAAGAAGAAAACUAGACUUAUGGUAAAAAAAAGGGGGUAAGAAAGGGAGAACAAGAGGAACAAGUCGUAACCCCGCCCAUAGAAAAAGAAAAAGGAAUAUGGGAAUGAAAGGAAGGGGAAAGAAGAAAAGGAGGAAAGAAAAAGAAGAAAACUAGACUUAUGGUAAAAAAAAGGGGGAUGAGAAAGGGAGAACAAGAGGAACAAGUCGUAACCCCACCCAUAGAAAAAGAAAAAGGAAAAAGGACAAUGGGAAUGAAAGGAAGGGGAAAGAAGAAAAGGAGGAAAGAAAAA
Molecule: long non-coding RNA, 825 nt
Organism: Eriocheir sinensis (Chinese mitten crab)
Lineage: Eukaryota; Metazoa; Arthropoda; Malacostraca; Decapoda; Varunidae
Exons: 2
Source: RefSeq, a predicted model, not a curated record